This 72-nucleotide transfer RNA is filed under the name Candidatus Nealsoniibacteriota bacterium. RNAcentral describes it as "Candidatus Nealsonbacteria bacterium tRNA-Gly". It matches the Rfam family "tRNA". Rfam says of the family: Transfer RNA (tRNA) molecules are approximately 80 nucleotides in length. Their secondary structure includes four short double-helical elements and three loops (D, anti-codon, and T loops). Lineage: Bacteria; Candidatus Nealsoniibacteriota. The record is from RNAcentral.
GCGGGCGUCGUAUAACGGCUAUUAUCUGGCCCUUCCAAGGCCAUGAUGAGGGUUCGAUUCCCUUCGCCCGCU